AAGGUCGNAACAAUGGUUUCCGUAUAGUGAACCUGUGGAAGGAUCAUUACAGAAAGUAAACGCGGAUUACACCGCGAACUUCUAAACCUUUGACGAUUGACUCAUGUUGCCUCGGCGGGUUCUCCCGCCAGAGGAUACAUUAAAACUCCUGUAUUUAACGGUGUUGUCUGAGCUACAAGCAACGAAUCAAAACUUUCAACAACGGAUCUCUUGGUUCUGGCAUCGAUGAAGAACGCAGCGAAAUGCGAUAAGUAGUAUGAAUUGCAGAAUUCAGUGAAUCAUCGAAUCUUUGAACGCACAUUGCGCCUCCCGUUACGGGGAGGCAUGCCUGUCUGAGCGUCGUUUAAACCCAUAUGCCCGUGCGUGUGUUGGGCCCUCGCUGGCGACGGCGUGGCCUCGAAGCGAUCGGCUAGGGAGCGGACCAAGUCCCCUGGGAUGAACCGCCCUCGGCCCUCGAACUCGAUUGAGAUCAAGACCUCAGAUCAGGUAGGACCACCGCCUGAACUUAA
This 509-nucleotide ribosomal RNA is filed under the name uncultured fungus. RNAcentral's name for it is "eukaryotic LSU rRNA". The stretch from base 191 to 342 matches the Rfam family "5.8S ribosomal RNA". Lineage: Eukaryota; Fungi. The record is from RNAcentral.